This 492-nucleotide ribosomal RNA is filed under the name uncultured bacterium. RNAcentral's name for it is "partial 16S ribosomal RNA". It matches the Rfam family "Bacterial small subunit ribosomal RNA", at positions 29 to 507 of the family's 1533-position model. The record is from RNAcentral.
AGUGAACGCUGGCGAUAGGCCUAACACAUGCCAGUCGAACGGCAGCACAGUAAGAGCUUGCUCUUACGGGUGGCGAGUGGCGGGCGGGUGAGGAAUACAUCGGAAUCUACUUUUUCGUGGGGGAUAACGUAGGGAAACUUACGCUAAUACCGCAUACGACCUACGGGUGAAAGCAGGGGAUCUUCGGACCUUGCGCGAUUGAAUGAGCCGAUGUCGGAUUAGCUAGUUGGCGGGGUAAAGGCCCACCAAGGCGACGAUCCGUAGCUGGUCUGAGAGGAUGAUCAGCCACACUGGAACUGAGACACGGUCCAGACUCCUACGGGAGGCAGCAGUGGGGAAUAUUGGACAAUGGGCGCAAGCCUGAUCCAGCCAUACCGCGUGGGUGAAGAAGGCCUUCGGGUUGUAAAGCCCUUUUGUUGGGAAAGAAAAGCAGCAGGUUAAUACCCCGCUGUUCUGACGGUACCCAAAGAAUAAGCACCGGCUAACUUCGUG